UACAGAGGUCUCAAGCGUUGUUCGGAUUCAUUGGGCGUAAAGGGUGCGUAGGCGGCGCGGUAAGUCGGGUGUGAAAUCUUGGAGCUUAACUCCGAAACUGCAUUCGAUACUGCGGUGCUUGAGGACUGGAGAGGAGACUGGAAUUUACGGUGUAGCAGUGAAAUGCGUAGAUAUCGUAAGGAAGACCAGUGGCGAAGGCGGGUCUCUGGACAGUUCCUGACACUGAGACACGAAGGCCAGGGGAGCAAACGGG
Molecule: ribosomal RNA, 253 nt
Filed under: uncultured bacterium
Lineage: Bacteria
Description: partial 16S ribosomal RNA
Rfam family: Bacterial small subunit ribosomal RNA
Source: RNAcentral